Molecule: ribosomal RNA, 408 nt
Filed under: uncultured bacterium
Lineage: Bacteria
Description: partial 16S ribosomal RNA
Rfam family: Bacterial small subunit ribosomal RNA
Source: RNAcentral
GAUUAACGCUGGCGGCGUGCCUAACACAUGCAAGUCGAACGAAGUGGCGGACGGGUGAGUAACACGUGGGUGACCUGCCCUGCACUUCGGGAUAAGCCUGGGAAACUGGGUCUAAUACCGGAUAGUGUGGGAUGGGCCCGCGGCCUAUCAGCUUGUUGGUGGGGGAAUGGCCUACCAAGGCGGCGACGGGUAGCCGGCCUGGGAGGGUGGACGGCCACAUUGGGACUGCGGCACGGCCCAGACUCCUACGGGAGGCAGCAGUGGGGAAUAUUGCACAAUGGGCGGAAGCCUGAUGCAGCGACGCCGCGUGGGGGAUGACGGCCUUCGGGUUGUAAACUCCUUUCACCAUCGACGCGGUAGAUGGAGAAGAAGCACCGGCUAACUACGUGCCAGCAGCCGCGGUAAUAC